AUUGAACGCUGGCGGAAUGCUUUACACAUGCAAGUCGAACGGCAGCACGAGGGCAACCUUGGUGGCGAGUGGCGAACGGGUGAGUAAUACAUCGGAACGUGCCCAGUCGUGGGGGAUAACGUAGCGAAAGCUACGCUAAUACCGCAUACGAUCUAUGGAUGAAAGCGGGGGACCGUAAGGCCUCGCGCGAUUGGAGCGGCCGAUGGCAGAUUAGGUAGUUGGUGGGGUAAAGGCUCACCAAGCCUGCGAUCUGUAGCUGGUCUGAGAGGACGACCAGCCACACUGGAACUGAGACACGGUCCAGACUCCUACGGGAGGCAGCAGUGGGGAAUUUUGGACAAUGGGCGCAAGCCUGAUCCAGCCAUUCCGCGUGCAGGAUGAAGGCCUCGG
Molecule: ribosomal RNA, 390 nt
Filed under: uncultured bacterium
Lineage: Bacteria
Description: bacterial SSU rRNA
Rfam family: Bacterial small subunit ribosomal RNA
Source: RNAcentral